RNAcentral lists this ribosomal RNA (255 nucleotides) under uncultured bacterium. RNAcentral's name for it is "partial 16S ribosomal RNA". It matches the Rfam family "Bacterial small subunit ribosomal RNA", at positions 15 to 263 of the family's 1533-position model. The record is from RNAcentral.
GAUAUGGCUCAGGAUGAACGCUAGCUACAGGCUUAACACAUGCAAGUAGAGGGGCAUCAGGAAGAAAGCUUGCUUUCUUUGCUGGCGACCGGCGCACGGGUGAGUAACACGUAUCCAACCUGACCUUUACUCGGGGAUAGCCUUUCGAAAGAAAGAUUAAUACCCGAUGGCAUAAUGAUUCCGCAUGGUUUCAUUAUUAAAGGAUUCCGGUAAAGGAUGGGGAUGCGUUCCAUUAGGUUGUUGGUGAGGUAACGG